This 145-nucleotide microRNA precursor is filed under the name Gossypium hirsutum (cotton). Its description in RNAcentral is "MIR7502 microRNA precursor family". It matches the Rfam family "MIR7502 microRNA precursor family". The record is from Rfam by way of RNAcentral. Lineage: Eukaryota; Viridiplantae; Streptophyta; Magnoliopsida; Malvales; Malvaceae.
UUUUUUAAUUUGUAUUAAUUUCUACUAUUAAAAACCGGUGUAGCUAAUAAAAUAAUUAAACAGUUGCACAUGAUGUGCUAUAUGUAUCUCAUGCUCACAUACGAAAACUCGUUUUUAUCAAUAAAAAUAAAUGAAAAUUUUAACA